GAUGAACGCUGGCGGCGUGCCUAAUACAUGCAAGUCGAGCGAACGGACGAGAAGCUUGCUUCUCUGAUGUUAGCGGCGGACGGGUGAGUAACACGUGGAUAACCUACCUAUAAGACUGGGAUAACUUCGGGAAACCGGAGCUAAUACCGGAUAAUAUUUUGAACCGCACGGUUCAAAAGUGAAAGACGGUCUUGCUGUCACUUAUAGAUGGAUCCGCGCUGCAUUAGCUAGUUGGUAAGGUAACGGCUUACCAAGGCAACGAUGCAUAGCCGACCUGAGAGGGUGAUCGGCCACACUGGAACUGAGACACGGUCCAGACUCCUACGGGAGGCAGCAGUAGGGAAUCUUCCGCAAUGGGCGAAAGCCUGACGGAGCAACGCCGCGUGAGUGAUGAAGGUCUUCGGAUCGUAAAACUCUGUUAUUAGGGAAGAACAUAUGUGUAAGUAACUGUGCACAUCUUGACGGUACCUAAUCAGAAAGCCGCGGCUAACUACGUG
Molecule: ribosomal RNA, 497 nt
Filed under: uncultured bacterium
Lineage: Bacteria
Description: partial 16S ribosomal RNA
Rfam family: Bacterial small subunit ribosomal RNA
Source: RNAcentral